This 429-nucleotide ribosomal RNA is filed under the name Bacteroidota bacterium. Its description in RNAcentral is "Bacteroidetes bacterium partial 16S ribosomal RNA". It matches the Rfam family "Bacterial small subunit ribosomal RNA", at positions 355 to 776 of the family's 1533-position model. Lineage: Bacteria; Pseudomonadati; Bacteroidota. The record is from RNAcentral.
UAGGGAAUCUUCCGCAAUGGGCGAAAGCCUGACGGAGCAACGCCGCGUGAGUGAUGAAGGUCUUCGGAUCGUAAAACUCUGUUAUUAGGGAAGAAUAAAUGUGUAAGUAACUAUGCACGUCUUGACGGUACCUAAUCAGAAAGCCACGCCUAACUACGUGCCAGCAGCCGCGGUAAUACGUAGGUGGCAAGCGUUAUCCGGAAUUAUUGGGCGUAAAGCGCGCGUAGGCGGUUUUUUAAGUCUGAUGUGAAAGCCCACGGCUCAACCGUGGAGGGUCAUUGGAAACUGGAAAACUUGAGUGCAGAAGAGGAAAGUGGAAUUCCAUGUGUAGCGGUGAAAUGCGCAGAGAUAUGGAGGAACACCAGUGGCGAAGGCGACUUUCUGGUCUGUAACUGACGCUGAUGUGCGAAAGCGUGGGGAUCAAACAGG